RNAcentral lists this ribosomal RNA (671 nucleotides) under uncultured bacterium. Its description in RNAcentral is "bacterial SSU rRNA". It matches the Rfam family "Bacterial small subunit ribosomal RNA", at positions 143 to 803 of the family's 1533-position model. The record is from RNAcentral.
AUAACUGAUGGAAACGUCAGCUAAGACCGCAUAGGUGUAGAGAUCGCAUGAACUCUAUAUGAAAAGUGCUACGGGACUGGUAGAUGAUGGACUUAUGGCGCAUUAGCUUGUUGGUAGGGUAACGGCCUACCAAGGCGACGAUGCGUAGCCGACCUGAGAGGGUGAUCGGCCACACUGGGACUGAGACACGGCCCAGACUCCUACGGGAGGCAGCAGUAGGGAAUUUUCGGCAAUGGGGGAAACCCUGACCGAGCAACGCCGCGUGAAGGAAGAAGUAAUUCGUUAUGUAAACUUCUGUCAUAGAGGAGGAACGGUGGAUAUAGGGAAUGAUAUCCAAGUGACGGUACUCUAUAAGAAAGCCACGGCUAACUACGUGCCAGCAGCCGCGGUAAUACGUAGGUGGCGAGCGUUAUCCGGAAUUAUUGGGCGUAAAGAGGGAGCAGGCGGCACUAAGGGUCUGUGGUGAAAGAUCGAAGCUUAACUUCGGUAAGCCAUGGAAACCGUAGAGCUAGAGUGUGUGAGAGGAUCGUGGAAUUCCAUGUGUAGCGGUGAAAUGCGUAGAUAUAUGGAGGAACACCAGUGGCGAAGGCGACGAUCUGGCGCAUAACUGACGCUCAGUCCCGAAAGCGUGGGGAGCAAAUAGGAUUAGAUACCCUAGUAGUCCACGCCGU